RNAcentral lists this ribosomal RNA (949 nucleotides) under uncultured Neocallimastigales. RNAcentral's name for it is "partial large subunit ribosomal RNA". The stretch from base 152 to 949 matches the Rfam family "Eukaryotic large subunit ribosomal RNA", at positions 1 to 639 of the family's 3401-position model. Lineage: Eukaryota; Fungi; Neocallimastigomycota; Neocallimastigomycetes; Neocallimastigales. The record is from RNAcentral.
UAUCAGUCAUGCAUAGCAUAUCAAUAAGCGGAGGAAAAGUAAAUGCUAUUACCUACGCUUAGGAUGUUGACACACGCGCGUGCUCGACUCUAUACAUGACUCUGUGCUAUAUCAAUAAGCGGAGGAAAAGGCAUACCUACGCUUAGGAUGUUGACGCGCGUGUGUGCGUGAAUCUAUACAUGACUCUGUGCAUAUCAAUAAGCGGAGGAAAAGAAACUAACAAGGAUUCCCCUAGUAACGGCGAGUGAAGCGGGAAGAGCUCAAAUUUGAAAUCUUAAAGGGUUUCCCUUUACGAAUUGUAGCUUUAAAGAAGUGUUUUCUGUUGAGGUUUUGGUAAAAGUUCUUUGGAAUAGGACAUCAUAGAGGGUGAGAAUCCCGUAUUUGACCUUUACUUUCAACUUUGUGAUACACUUUCAAAGAGUCGGAUUGUUCGGGAAUGCAGUCCCAAAAUGGGUGGUAAAUUUCAUCUAAAGCUAAAUAUUGGCGAGAGACCGAUAGCGAACAAGUACCGUGAGGGAAAGAUGAAAAGAACUUUGAAAAGAGAGUUAAACAGUACGUGAAAUUGUCAAAAGGGAAGCGUUUGACACCAGUGUUGUUUUUCUGAAAAUCAACUUAAAGAACUGUUUAUGCUAAGUUGUUUAGACUUUAUCAGCUAACUGUUUAGUUUUGAGCUUUUCUUUAAUGCACUUUUCAGUUAACAAGUCAACAUCAAUUUCUUUUGCUGUAAAAAGCUUGAGGAAGGUGGCUUGAGAUUCGUCUUAAGUGUUUAUAGCCUCUUGCCUAUGCAGUCGGAGAGAUUGAGGUCUGCAGCGUAGAUCCUUCGGGGCUAAAUGCAUUUGUGCUAAGUUAUAGCAUUUUAUAGACAACUUGUUGACUAUGAUUUGUCUUGUAGCUUACUCGCUUAUGUUAUUUUACCUACGCUUAGGAUGUUGACGCGCGUGUGUGCGUG